Molecule: ribosomal RNA, 468 nt
Filed under: uncultured bacterium
Lineage: Bacteria
Description: partial 16S ribosomal RNA
Rfam family: Bacterial small subunit ribosomal RNA
Source: RNAcentral
GACGAACGCUGGCGGCGUGCUUAACACAUGCAAGUCGAACGGAAAGGCUCAGCUUUUGUCGUGUGCUCGAGUGGCGAACGGGUGAGUAACACGUGAGUAACCUGCCCUUGACUUAGGGAUAACUUCAGGAAACUGGGGCUAAUACCGGAUCGGAGCUCCUGCUGCAUGGUGGGGGUUGGAAAGUUUCGGCGGUUGGGGAUGGACUCGCGGCUUAUCAGCUUGUUGGUGGGGUAGUGGCUUACCAAGGCUUUGACGGGUAGCCGGCCUGAGAGGGUGGCCGGCCACGUUGGGACUGAGAUACGGCACAGACUCCAACGGGAGGGAGCGGUGGAGAAUAUUGCACAAUGGGCGGGAGCAUGAUGCAGCAACGCCGCGUGGGGGAUGACGGCCUUCGGGUUGUAAACCGCAUUCGCCUGAGACGAAGCGUGAGUGACGGUAAUGGGUAAAGAAGCACCGGCUAACUACGUG